Molecule: long non-coding RNA, 439 nt
Organism: Periophthalmus magnuspinnatus
Lineage: Eukaryota; Metazoa; Chordata; Actinopteri; Gobiiformes; Gobiidae
Exons: 3
Source: RefSeq, a predicted model, not a curated record
GUUUUUCCGCUCCCCUUGGCCUUGGUGCACUGUCUCUUUAAAUGGGGCGCCACACCACGGCUCGCGAGUGUUGUGGGUCUCGGGAGUGUCUGAGCUGCUGCAGAUGCCUCCUGCUGUAUGACGAUGUGCUGAGAAUGACUAUUAAGCGGAACUGGCCAGGUUCCAGUAUUGGAUGGCGAGCUAGAAGGCCCCGAGCCUGGACAUAUUGAGUGCGCCCGUCCGCCGGUGCGGUAGGAGGCGCUGCAGCCACUCCCCACACACACCCACUUGCACACACGCACACUAACAACCUCCGCUGGUGGAUUGUUUGAACUUUGCGAGUUUUGCACAGACUGAAACCCAGGUUCACCAAACUUGACGAUCUGAACUCUUUGUGCGCCUAAGUGGAUCUAUGAACUCUUCUUUCACAGCAACGUGGAUUUAUGAACAAUACUGCUUG